GACGAACGCUGGCGGCGUGCUUAACACAUGCAAGUCGAACGGAAAGGCCCUGCUUUUGUGGGGUGCUCGAGUGGCGAACGGGUGAGUAACACGUGAGUAACCUGCCCUUGACUUUGGGAUAACUUCAGGAAACUGGGGCUAAUACCGGAUAGGAGCUCCUGCUGCAUGGUGGGGGUUGGAAAGUUUCGGCGGUUGGGGAUGGACUCGCGGCUUAUCAGCUUGUUGGUGGGGUAGUGGCUUACCAAGGCUUUGACGGGUAGCCGGCCUGAGAGGGUGACCGGCCACAUUGGGACUGAGAUACGGCCCAGACUCCUACGGGAGGCAGCAGUGGGGAAUAUUGCACAAUGGGCGGAAGCCUGAUGCAGCAACGCCGCGUGCGGGAUGACGGCCUUCGGGUUGUAAACCGCUUUCGCCUGUGACGAAGCGUGAGUGACGGUAAUGGGUAAAGAAGCACCGGCUAACUACGUGCCAGCAGCCGCGGUGAUACGUAGGGUGCGAGCGUUGUCCGGAUUUAUUGGGCGUAAAGGGCUCGUAGGUGGUUGAUCGCGUCGGAAGUGUAAUCUUGGGGCAUAACCCUGAGCGUGCUUUCGAUACGGGUUGACUUGAGGAAGGUAGGGGAGAAUGGAAUUCCUGGUGGAGCGGUGGAAUGCGCAGAUAUCAGGAGGAACACCAGUGGCGAAGGCGGUUCUCUGGGCCUUUCCUGACGCUGAGGAGCGAAAGCGUGGGGAGCGAACAGGCUUAGAUACCCUGGUAGUCCACGCUGUAAACGGUGGGUACUAGGUGUGGGGUCCAUUCCACGGGUUCCGUGCCGUAGCUAACGCUUUAAGUACCCCGCCUGGGGAGUACGGCCGCAAGGCUAAAACUCAAAGGAAUUGACGGGGCCCCGCACAAGCGGCGGAGCAUGCGGAUUAAUUCGAUGCAACGCGUAGAACCUUACCUGGGUUUGACAUGGAUCGGGAGCGCUCAGAGAUGGGUGUGCCUCUUUUGGGGUCGGUUCACAGGUGGUGCAUGGCUGUCGUCAGCUCGUGUCGUGAGAUGUUGGGUUAAGUCCCGCAACGAGCGCAACCCUUGUUCACUGUUGCCAGCACGUUAUGGUGGGGACUCAGUGGAGACCGCCGGGGUCAACUCGGAGGAAGGUGGGGAUGACGUCAAGUCAUCAUGCCCCUUAUGUCCAGGGCUUCACGCAUGCUACAAUGGCUGGUACAGAGAGUGGCGAGCCUGUGAGGGUGAGCGAAUCUCGGAAAGCCGGUCUCAGUUCGGAUUGGGGUCUGCAACUCGACCUCAUGAAGUCGGAGUCGCUAGUAAUCGCAGAUCAGCAACGCUGCGGUGAAUACGUUCCCGGG
This 1343-nucleotide ribosomal RNA is filed under the name uncultured bacterium. RNAcentral describes it as "16S ribosomal RNA". It matches the Rfam family "Bacterial small subunit ribosomal RNA", at positions 28 to 1378 of the family's 1533-position model. The record is from RNAcentral.